RNAcentral lists this ribosomal RNA (381 nucleotides) under Flavobacteriaceae bacterium. Its description in RNAcentral is "bacterial SSU rRNA". It matches the Rfam family "Bacterial small subunit ribosomal RNA", at positions 443 to 822 of the family's 1533-position model. The record is from RNAcentral. Lineage: Bacteria; Pseudomonadati; Bacteroidota; Flavobacteriia; Flavobacteriales; Flavobacteriaceae.
GGAAGAAACACUCCGACGUGUCGGAGCUUGACGGGCCUGUAACAAGAAGGAUCGGCUAACUCCGUGCCAGCAGCCGCGGUAGUACGGAGGAUCCGAGCGUUAUCCGGAAUCAUUGGGUUUAAAGGGUCCGUAGGCGGUUUAGGAAGUCAAUGGCGAAAGCCGAUCGCUCAACGGUGGAACGGCCAUUGAUACUGCUAGACUUGAAUUAUUAGGAAAUAACUAGAAUAUGUAGUGUAUCGGUGAAAUGCUUAAAGAUUACAUGGAAUACCAAUUGCGAAGGCAGGUUACUACUAAUUGAUUGACGCUGAUGGACGAAAGCGUGAGUAGCGAACACGAUUACAUACCCUGGUAGUCCUCGCCGUAGACGAGGGAAACUACCUG